AUGUAGUUGCCGGUAUUAAUAUGUCUGAAAUAAUAAUUGACGAAGCUGGUAUCAUAUCUUUACUCGAAAAGUUGAAAACUUCGUCUGCAUCCGAUCAUAAUGGCUUCAAUAACAAAAUACUGAAAAAUAUUUUCUCAGGUAUCUAUCGCUUUUUGGCAGCAAUCUUUUCUCUAUCGUUAUCAUCAGGCACCAUUCCUCACGACUGGCGAAUAGCAAAAGUAGUGACACUAUUUAAAUCUGGUGAUCGCUCAUCCCCGCUUAAUUACAGACCCAUAUCUUUAACUAGUACCAUAUGUAAACUUUUGGAACACAUUAUACACUCCCAGGUAAUCUCCUAUUUAGAGGAACACAAUAUCAUGUUUAAAUACCAGCAUGGUUUUCGCAAGGGCUAUUCAUGCGAAACUCAACUCGCGGGAUUUACCCAUGACUUGCACUCAUCAUUGGACGCCGGCAUUCAAACUGACGCUAUAUUCCUUGAUUUUUCAAAAGCAUUUGAUCGUGUCCCUCACCAUCGGCUCUUACUAAAACUUAGGCAGCUUAAUAUUCACCCACUUGUUCUCGCCUGGCUACAAGCUUUUCUUUCCAGUAGAAAACAAUUCACGUCUGUCAAUAACUUUAACUCUCCUUUUGUUGAAGUCUCAUCUGGAGUUCCCCAAGGAAGUGUGAUUGGUCCCUUGCUUUUCCUUAUUUAUAUUAACGACUUACCCUCCUCAGUCAAUUCUAAAGUUAGGCUUUUCGCUGACGAUUGUGUCAUUUACCGUACCAUUUCAUCUGAAACUGAUCGACAAUCUCUACAAUCUGAUCUUGUCUCUUUAACUUCGUGGUGCACAGCAUG
Molecule: long non-coding RNA, 835 nt
Organism: Rhipicephalus microplus (southern cattle tick)
Lineage: Eukaryota; Metazoa; Arthropoda; Arachnida; Ixodida; Ixodidae
Source: RefSeq, a predicted model, not a curated record